UUACAUAUGUUUCUCUGAUCUGCAGAUGUGGGCAUAUGUGCACUUGUUCUAAAUGUGCAAACGAGUUGGUUCGCAGAGGAGGAAAGUGUCCAUUGUGUCGUGCACCCAUUGUUGAGGUGAUUAGAGCUUACUCCAUACUGUAAAAAGAAACCAUAGAGAAUAAAAUUUGCGAACCAUUGAUAAGUUACGUUGGAGCUGUGAUCGAUUUUACUCGUCUGAAGCUCAAUCUUAUCUGUAGAGUGUUUAGUCAGCCACUGUUAUUCGGAUAACAUUUGGAAAGCUUUGCAGUGUAUUAAUGGAACCAAAAAUAGCGUUUAACUAUGUCCUCAUUCAUUCGUAAAUAAUAUUUCAAUUCUUUCCUGGCGAAAAAAUAGCAAGAUUUGUCUGUGUCACGAUGAGAAUUUUUAGAUUCUCUAAAUUUCAUGCAUGACCACAGCUUGUAAUCUACAAAAAAUAUUUUUUGCCGAACAUGCAUUUGGGAUAAAAAAUUGUCUUCUUAUCCUCAAAAAAAUUCUUUAGCACUGGUUUCUUUGUUGUCAUUAAAUCGGAUUCAAUUCUUUGGUGAAAACUAGAGGGUAAUUGCAAUCAACACUUGGG
RNAcentral lists this long non-coding RNA (597 nucleotides) under Olea europaea subsp. europaea. The record is from RNAcentral. Lineage: Eukaryota; Viridiplantae; Streptophyta; Magnoliopsida; Lamiales; Oleaceae.